This 1731-nucleotide ribosomal RNA is filed under the name Triticum aestivum (bread wheat). Its description in RNAcentral is "partial small subunit ribosomal RNA". The record is from RNAcentral. Lineage: Eukaryota; Viridiplantae; Streptophyta; Magnoliopsida; Poales; Poaceae.
AUGGCGGAGUCCCGCAGCAGCAACCGGGGGGCAAAGGCGAAGGCGAAGGCGAUGGCGAUGGAGGAGGAGCCGUGGGUGAAGCUUAUCCGGGAGUCCCUUACCGUGGAGGAGGAGGAGGACGUGGACACCCGCGUGUCCGUGUUCGACGUGCCCAAGCAGCUGCAGGUGCACAAGCCCGAGGCCUACUGCCCCCAGUUCAUCGGCCUGGGCCCCUACCACCACCGGCACCCCGAGCUGUACGGCAUGGAGCGCUACAAGAUCGACGCCGCCCGCCGCGCGCUCAAGCGCCUCCUCUGCGCAGCAGCUGGGCCCAGCCACGACGUCCUCGACGAGCUCGUCAACGAGCUCAUGGGCCACGACCUCAAGGUCCGCGCCCACUACCACCGGUACCUCGAGCUGAGUAGGGAGGCGCUCUCGCUGAUGAUGAUCAUGGACGGCGCCUUCCUGCUCGAGUUCCUCACGAUCCACCACCACACCGCUGCUGAGGGGGAGAGGGAGGGGGAGGGGGCCUCUUCGAGUUGGACCAAGAGGAUGGAGCACCUCGUCGACUUGGGCGGGAGCGGGACCGGGAGGAAGUCCGCGCACGGCCUCAUUCUCCGCGACAUGCUCAUGCUCGAGAACCAGAUCCCGCUCUUCGUCCUCGCCAUGAUCAAGGCCAAGUGCUCGUCGGUGUCGGUCGACGAGGCGAGCAGGCGGCUCACUCUCAUGGUGACAGAGCUCAUGAGGGAGCUCUGUCCGUUUAAGAUGGAGGGCCACUUCCCGGAGACCUCAUGCGAUGUCACCAAGCACGCGCACCUGCUCGAGCUGCUCUACCACCUGGUGGUGCCGGUGGUGCCCACGCCCACCGACACUACCGAGAACGCACACACCACCCCACCGUUUUCCGGCCACAUCGUGGAGAUGCCGGAACCGGAAGGCGGCGGCCAAGGCCAGGAGAAGCCUUCCGCCUGCACCGGCAACGAGCACGCGAUGAUGCAAUUGUUCGAGUUCAUCGCGUUGAAGCUCAAGGGCGGUCGCCUUGGCAAGGUGAUGAAGCCGAUCGAGCUUGUGGUGAAGGCGCCGUGGAACAAGCUUGCCGGUAUACCUGGUGUCGAGUCCUUCAUGUCUGCCGACGCCAGCCAGCAAGAGAUCACGAUCCCAUCGGUGUCGGAGCUGGUUAGCUCCGGCGUCAAGUUUAAGCCCACCAGCGGCGACCUGUCCACUGCGUCAACUAUCGCCUUCGACCGCAAGACAGCGACGCUCCGCCUCCCCGUGGUGACCCUCGACGGCAACACGGAGGUGGUGCUCCGGAACCUGGUCGCCUACGAGUCAUCCGCCGCGUCAGGCCCACUGGUGCUCACCCGGUACACGGAGCUCAUGAACGGCAUCAUCGACACCGACGACGACGUUGCGCUGCUCCGCAAGCGGGGCGUGGUGCUCAACCACAUGAAGAAGAGGGACGGCGAGGCGGCCAAGCUGUGGAACGGCAUGAGCCGGUCGGUGCAGCACUCCAGGGUGCCGGCCUUGGACAAGGUGAUCGAGGAGGUGAACCGCUACUACGACGGUCGGUGGAGCGUCAAGACGAAGCGGUUCAUGCGCAAGUACGUGCUCAGCUCAUGGAAGAUGCUCACCUUCCUCGCCACCAUCAGCAUGCUGCUGCUCACCACGGUGCAGGCCUUCUGCUCCGUCUACACAUGCUACCGAUGGUGGUUUGGCGACCUGGUCGCCGUCGUGCCGUCGGACUCGGAGUAG